GAUGAAGAACGCAGCGAAAUGCGAUAAGUAAUGUGAAUUGCAGAAUUUAGUGAAUCAUCGAAUCUUUGAACGCACAUUGCGCCCCUUGGUAUCCCGAGGGGCAUGCCUGUUCGAGCGUCAUUUCACCACUCAAGCCUGGCUUGGUGUUGGGCGACGUCCCCUUUGGGGACGCGCCUCGAAACGCUCGGCGGCGUGGCACCGGCUUUAAGCGUAGCAGAAUCUUUCGCUUUGGAAGUCGGGGCCCCGUCUGCCGGAAGACCUACUCGCAAGGUUGACCUCGGAUCAGGCAGGGAUACCCGCUGAACUUAAGCAUAUCAAUAAGCGGAGGA
This 329-nucleotide unclassified non-coding RNA is filed under the name soil metagenome. Its description in RNAcentral is "partial contains 5.8S ribosomal RNA, internal transcribed spacer 2, and large subunit ribosomal RNA". The stretch from base 1 to 120 matches the Rfam family "5.8S ribosomal RNA", at positions 35 to 154 of the family's 154-position model. The record is from RNAcentral.